GACGAACGCUGGCGGCGUGCUUAACACAUGCAAGUCGAACGGUAAGGCUCCAGCUUGCUGGGGUACACGAGUGGCGAACGGGUGAGUAACACGUGGGUGACCUGCCCUGCACUUCGGGAUAAGCCUGGGAAACUGGGUCUAAUACUGGAUAGGACCAUGGUGUGGAUACUGUGGUGGAAAGUUUUUUCGGUGUGGGAUGGGCCCGCGGCCUAUCAGCUUGUUGGUGGGGUAAUGGCCUACCAAGGCGGCGACGGGUAGCCGGCCUGAGAGGGUGGACGGCCACAUUGGGACUGAGACACGGCCCAGACUCCUACGGGAGGCAGCAGUGGGGAAUAUUGCACAAUGGGCGGAAGCCUGAUGCAGCGACGCCGCGUGGGGGAUGACGGCCUUCGGGUUGUAAACUCCUUUCACCAUCGACGAAGGGUUUCUGACGGUAGAUGGAGAAGAAGCACCGGCUAACUACGUG
RNAcentral lists this ribosomal RNA (466 nucleotides) under uncultured bacterium. RNAcentral describes it as "partial 16S ribosomal RNA". It matches the Rfam family "Bacterial small subunit ribosomal RNA", at positions 28 to 507 of the family's 1533-position model. The record is from RNAcentral.